UAUUUCCCCCUGCCCAACCCCCCGCGGAUGCCAGCCGCCGUUGCCAUCCCUAGCAGCAGCUGCACGGCGGCAGGCACAUAGAAAAGGAGCUUUCAAUUCCGGGGAUUGGGCAAAAUGCAAGAGCGAGGGAGCGAAAGCGAAAGUCGGCCUCUCUCUCUCUCGGUCUCGAGGGGAGCAAUUGAACCUACCUGGCUACGUUCGUUGUACUAUACUGCCACUACGCUCUCUCUCUCUCUCACACACACAAAAACACACAAAGUCAUAAGCUUCAAAUUCCAUAAAUUUGGUCAGAGACAAAAUUUAGCAGCAGUUCAGCUCAGCGGCACAUUGCUUCUUUUUUAUUUUUUUUCUCUUUUAUUUUCUUUGGCAAUGCGGAGAUUCGUAGCCGACAAAACCAGAAAUCUCAUCAGGAGAGCUUCCUCUUGUUCCCCCACUUGCCCAGUAUCCACCCGUCCUCAUCACCCUCCUUCCCUUCUUUCUCAACCUACAUCAUCACCUUUUUCCUCCUCUUCUCCUUCCCAUCCAUCGUCUAUUACUAGUCCCCUGCGUUUCUUGACCGCCGCUGCUCUCCAUCCCCUCUCUUUCCCUGCUUCUCCUAACUCCAUGGCUACCAAUUAUUCAACCACCCCUGUUACUCUUCAAUCCGUCAAUCCAAAGGUGAUUGAUUUUUAUUAGACAAGUAGCUUACAACUUUACAAGUUCGCAAAUUCCCAAACUUCAAAGCCCAAAGCCUAGAUCAAAAGUCCAAAGCCCAGAAUCUUUUCCCAAAACCCCCGUCAAAGUAAAACCAAGCCAUCCCUUCCCCUCCACUCCAGCUCCACUCCUGAGAAACAAUCCACCAAAUUCAACAGUUUUCCCAGAUGCUGAUGAUUUCAAGAAUCAAAUGGGUUCUCCAAAAUCCCCUUUUUUUGCACCACCACCCCAUCAAAAACCCAUCUUUUCUCCUAAAAACACCAACAAGAAAUCCUCGUUUUUUUGCCGUUAAACCCUUGUUAAACCCUCAACCUAGUCAUCAGCAACAUCAUCACCAUUGUCAGAUGCGAGGCUUGAAAUCAGAAGCUACUUCUGCUGCUGCUGCUGCUUCUUCUUCCGGUGAAAUUCACGUGAUUGUGGGGCCCAUGUUUGCUGGAAAAACUUCCACUCUUCUCAGGAGGAUUAAGACCGAGAGCAGCAAUGGAAGUUUUCAGGCCGAUGCUAGAGAGAUUGCCCUUCAGUUGGAUAAGAGUUUGAAGGAUCUCUGUUUUUCAGGAAGAGUAGUGGAAGCUGUUCGGAUGUUAUGCCAUGCACGGGUUCAAGUAGAAUCGGAAACUUAUUCUCUUCUUUUGCAAGACUGUAUCUUCAGGAAAGAUUAUAGUUUGGGAAAAAAAAUCCAUUGGCAAAUGAUAAUCAUUGGAUGUGUUCCCAAUGAAUAUCUAAAUGUUAAAUUGUUGAUUUUAUAUGCAAAGGCAGGAGAUCUUAAUCUAGCCCAUAUUCUUUUUGACAAGUUACAAAUGAAAAGCUUGGUCUCAUGGAAUUCGAUGAUUGCAGGCUAUGUGCAGAUAGGGUUGGAAGAGGUGGGUUUGAGCAUGUUCCAUAAGAUGAGAAAAAAUGGUUUGAUACCAGACCACUAUUCCUUUGCAUCAGUCUUUAGGGCUUGUGCUUCUUUAGCAAUCCUGGAACAGGGCAGGCAAGCCCAUGCUUUGUGGAUCAAGUGUCAAAUUAGUGGAAACCUUGUAGUUAAUAGUGCUCUCAUGGAUAUGUAUUUCAAGUGUAGUAGUCUCUCUGAAGGGCAUAUUGUAUUUGAGAAGUUUUUAGAUAGACAUAUUGUUACCUGGUCGGCUUUGAUAUCUGGUUAUGGACAACAUGGAAGAGUGGUAGAGGUUAUAGAAUCCUUUCAUAGGAUGUUAGAUGAAGGUUUUAGACCCAACCAUGUUACAUUUCUUGCAGUUCUUUCUGCUUGUAGCCAUGGAGGAUUGGUGAACAAAGGCUGGGAAUACUUUACCUCAAUGACUAGAGAUUAUGGAAUUCAGCCAAAGGGAAAACAUUAUGCAGCAAUGGUUGAUCUGUUAGGGCGUGCUGGUAGGUUAGCAGAUGCUUAUGAGUUUGUCGUGAAUUCACCUUGUAAGGAACACCCUGUUGUAUGGGGUGCUUUACUUGGAGCUUGUAAGAAUCAUGGAAAUAUGGACUUGGCAAAGAUUGCUGCGAAGAACUUCUUUAAGUUGGAACCUGGAAGUGCUGGAAAGUAUGUUGUCUUAUCAAAUGCUUAUGCUUCUUUUGGUUUGUGGGAUAAUGUAGCUGAGAUUAGGAGUGUGAUGAAUGAAUCUGGGAUGAGGAAGGAGCCUGGUUAUAGCAUGAUUGAAAUUCAAAGGGAGGCUCACUUUUUCUUUAUGGAGCAUAAUAUUCAUGAGAAAACGGAGGAGUUGCAUCAGUUAAUUGAAGAUCUGACUUGUGUUCUAAAAGAUAUGGGGUAUGCUCCUGAUGUAAGUAAAUAGUAGACAGGAUUAAAGUUUGAGCUAUUCAGUUGUCUAUGCAGCUAAUGCUAUGGUUGGAUGCUGCUUUUUAGGAGGGUAGAACUCCUGAAAGCUUUAAAUUCUUGGACUGUACUUCUUCCUCAGUGUCAUGCAUGCUAUUCUUUUGUAAUUAGAGAAGGAGAUAAACAUUUCUAUGGUCAUUAUAUUUCCUCUAAUGGUUAGGAAAAGACCUAUAUGUCAAAUCUGUUGGAAAGAUUCAGAGUGACUUUGCGAUUGCAUUAUAUUAAGGGCCUUUUGGAGAUUGAUUAAAUAUAUUCAGAUUAUAUUGAGGUGAUGCUGGAAGUUGUUUAGGAGUCAAGCGUCACAGUGGAUGUCUGAACUUUUUAAGCAGAGGUUUAUGGAUUGAAUGUAUUGGAGUUAAAUAGAAACUGACACUUGGCCAUGAAACUGUUAUCUGAUUCCUUGCUGGAACAAUAUGAAGAGGAAAUUGACACGUUCUGUUGGCCUUUUGAUAAAAGAAAAGUGUUGCAGUUAUAAAAUCUGAUAAGGACACUAGAUAUGCAUUGGAUUUAAUUGUUACACAUGAUGGAGAAAAAUUGCCAUGCUGGCCAUUGGCAAAUCUUUCAUCAUUCAGACAAAAGCUUGGUAGUGAGGCAUAUGAUAAGCUAGACGUUAUUGGUAUAGACGAGGCACAAUUUUUUGAAGACCUUUAUGAUUUCUGCCGUGAAGCUGCUGACCUCGAUGGGAAGACUGUGAUUG
This is a non-coding RNA of Coffea arabica (coffee), 3209 nucleotides long. The record is from RefSeq and is a predicted model, not a curated record. NCBI's taxonomy places the organism in Eukaryota, Viridiplantae, Streptophyta, Magnoliopsida, Gentianales, Rubiaceae.